This 504-nucleotide ribosomal RNA is filed under the name uncultured bacterium. RNAcentral's name for it is "partial 16S ribosomal RNA". It matches the Rfam family "Bacterial small subunit ribosomal RNA", at positions 29 to 523 of the family's 1533-position model. The record is from RNAcentral.
AGUGAACGCUGGCGGUAGGCCUAACACAUGCAAGUCGGACGGUAGCACAGAGAGCUUGCUCUCGGGUGACGAGUGGCGGACGGGUGAGUAAUGUCUGGGGAUCUGCCCGAUAGAGGGGGAUAACCACUGGAAACGGUGGCUAAUACCGCAUAACGUCGCAAGACCAAAGAGGGGGACCUUCGGGCCUCUCACUAUCGGAUGAACCCAGAUGGGAUUAGCUAGUAGGCGGGGUAACGGCCCACCUAGGCGACGAUCCCUAGCUGGUCUGAGAGGAUGACCAGCCACACGGGAACUGAGACACAGUCCAGACUCCUACGGGAGGCAGCAGUGGGGAAUAUUGCACAAUGGGCGCAAGCCUGAUGCAGCCAUGCCGCGUGUAUGAAGAAGGCCUUCGGGUUGUAAAGUACUUUCAGCGGGGAGGAAGGCGAUGUGGUUAAUAACCGUAUCGAUUGACGUUACCCGCAGAAGAAGCACCGGCUAACUCCGUGCCAGCCGCCGCCGUAA